RNAcentral lists this long non-coding RNA (522 nucleotides) under Daucus carota (carrot). Its description in RNAcentral is "long non-coding RNA (DCAR_LNC000911)". The record is from RNAcentral. Lineage: Eukaryota; Viridiplantae; Streptophyta; Magnoliopsida; Apiales; Apiaceae.
UUUAAUCGCGGUGCAGAGACAAAUAGCAGCUUCAAGAUCGACAAGGCCUUCGAGGAGACUACAGCAUGGCAGCUUAGGUGGAGUUCCAAUGACCGUCCCGAUCAAGCCACCUAGAACCUUGGCACACACUCCCAACUUGAGUGCAUCUCUAGGGCAGCUUGCUGGUGGAGUGAUGGGGUGGUGGUGAGGUGGUGGCGGUGGGCAAAGUGGCUUCGGGGGUGUUGGUGUAGGUGUUGGAGUUGGUGGUGGUGGUGGAGGGCUCUUCGGCUUCGGUGUAGGUGGUGGUGGUGGAGGGCUUUUCGGCUUCGGUGUAGGUGGUGGAGGGCAGCUAGGUUUCGGCAUUGGGGGUGGGGGGCAUUUAGGUUUCGGCAUUGGUGGUGGUGGGCAUGGAGUGUGAUGAGUUGAAGUUACUAAAGUGAGGAAGAGAAGGUUAAGGACUAGGAAGAAAGAUGUGGAUGCUAAUGCCUUUGAAGCCAUGCUGCAGAGACUUCUUUGCUAUGUUAGGAGAGGAGAGAUUCUUGG